Molecule: long non-coding RNA, 246 nt
Filed under: Hordeum vulgare
Lineage: Eukaryota; Viridiplantae; Streptophyta; Magnoliopsida; Poales; Poaceae
Description: long non-coding RNA (HVUL_LNC003632)
Source: RNAcentral
CAAAUCAAUGCUUCCCUCUGCGAAGGGCAUGUCUAUUUAUUUUCCUGUUGAGUCAUCCUCUUCUUAUAUAAGCACCAAUUAGAGAGCACCUCUGUCAUUUUUAUGCUUUGCUUUUGAUUGAUAUUGAGUAUGACUAUGACUGGAUCUUCGUUGCUAUGAAUUACAAUGUUUAGUCAGCCCUUGAUCUUUGAAAGUGCUCUGCAUUUAUGUUUUGCGGUCUCAGAAAGAGCUAGCGAGAUACCACCU